ACAGAUCCAUCGUUCUCCCUCUCUCCCAUCUUCCAAUCCCUAGCUCUGUAACUCUCAGCCGGCGCGCCUCCGUCAUUCCGCCGCCACCGGUAAAGGUCAUCGUUCCCCCUUCAUUAUCGAAACCCUCCACUCACGAUGUGUACGCACACUACCGUGGUGACGUCUCCAAGGCUCAUUGAUUGCUUCUUCGCUAAGCUCAGGGAGAAAGAGCCAGUCUCUUAAGUGCAAAACUGGAGAGGCAAUUACUUACUACAUUGGAAAUCAGACUUGUUUGAAAUGAAGAGACGAUUAAAUGAGGAAGAUAUGUACUACGCGCUGGUCUUUCAUUGUAGAAGAACAAUAGUGUUGACAACAUACUAGGCUAGCUAACAAGAUCAAUGCCACAUGAUAUAACAGUUAUUCCCGAGGAACGUGAAGCUAUAGAAAGGAAUAGGAGGGAAUCUAGCGCGUUAGCAUCAGAGUAGGGAGAACUGUGUUAUUGCUCCCAAAUGCCCUGUUACUGGAAAGAGAAUUCAAGAGAAAUACAUAAAGUGAAAUAGUCAAGGAUGUAGAGUGAAUAGCAAAAGGGGCUGCCCGGAUGGUUAUAUUUGCUAGCUGCUAAACCCUAAUGAUCUGAUUGAAUGACAAUCAUCCAAUUUGGCCUUAUCUGUUUUGUGAAGUUCAUUCGAAAACUCUUGAGGAAUGUUAACAGCGUGUGGAUUGCGGCCUAGCAAGGUGCAACUUCACUCACGAACAUAUCAUUUUGUAUGAAAACAGAGAAGCUGAACCAGGUCUGCUCCUUGGGGUCUAUGUAGCCAUUUUUAACACUAAUAUUAGUUAAGUUAGUGUUAGUUUGUGUUCUGUAUAAGGUAAAGGUCGAGUCUUGGUUAUAAGGCUCUACGUUUUCGAUGUAUGAAGAUAUUUGGUUGGUUGGUAAAGGUGAAAUCUUGCAGAAUUAAUGAUAGAUUUGGGAUA
Molecule: non-coding RNA, 954 nt
Organism: Salvia hispanica
Lineage: Eukaryota; Viridiplantae; Streptophyta; Magnoliopsida; Lamiales; Lamiaceae
Source: RefSeq, a predicted model, not a curated record